GUAUGUCCUUAACCUUGGCACAACAAAUCUCUAAAUCGAUUGAGACCUGUCUCAGAUACUUUUUGGUUUAUAAGAUGGGGGCUGAAAUUAAAGAGAAAGCUCCUCACUCAGCUCACAAAGGAGCAGAAUGGGAAGAGGACUUAGUGAGAAUUCCCUGAACACAGGAGAAAACCGAAGCCCAGAGAGUGGAUGGCCAAGUCCAAGGCCACAUAGCCAAGUGCAUCUGAGCAGCGCAGGAUCCAGGUUUCCUGCCCCAGUGCUGUUUCUGCAGCCCGUGCCACCUGUUUUCAUACUAUCUCGGUUCACCAUCCAGCUACACACCUGCAAUCAGAAACAGAAAGUCUGAGAGUGUGUGUGGAGCCAAAGAGGGGACAGCAGUGGUGCGGCCAGUUUCAUGUCUUGUGAUUUAUUUUCUCCCUUUCUUUUUGGACUUUAAUCUUAAGUGGACAGCAGUUUGGAACAGUGCCAGCACCUUGUUGGAUUGUGCUGUUUGGGAGAGGUGACACAGAGUAUUUUAAAAGAGCAGGUUAAGAACUUUUCAUAAAGAAUCAAUUGAGAAAAAAUAAAAUAGAAACAGAAUGUCCCACAUUUGGGCUGAGCACCAAACAAAUUUUUUUUUUUUUUUUUUGAGACUGAGUCUUGCUGUGUCACUCAGGCUGGAAUGCAGUGGUGCGAUCUCGGCUCACUGCAGCCUUCGCCUCCCAGGUUCAAGUGAUUCUUCUGCCUCAGCCUCCCAAGUAGCUGGGAUUACAGGUGCCCACCACCACGCCAGGCUAAUUUUUGUAUUUUUAGUAGAGACGGGGUUUCACCAUGUUGACCAGGCUGGUCUUGAACUCCUGACCAAGUGAUCCACCUGCUUCGGCCACCCAAAGUGCUGGGAUUAUAGGCAUGAGCCACCGCACCUGGCCUCAAACAAGCUUUUUAAUUGCAUUCAGAAGUGCACCAACUAGGCACAGACCUCUGGCAUGGAAACAGAAUGGGAGGUUCUUGGUGUCUGGCCUGGUCUUGCAGAAAUCAGGGAGUUGCCGGGACCAGGCAGCCACUGUGCAUCAGAUAGGAGUUUCAGCAGCAGGCAACAGAAAGCCUGCCAAUGUAGCUGAAAUAAGAAGGGCUUAUUUUUAUCCCUGAACAGAAGCUUCCAGCACUGGUUCAUCAGGUCAGGGCACUGAGCUGGCAUCCCCAUUUAUACAGUUUUCCUUUCCUUCACCUUUGUAAGAUGCCUGGCACAGCUCUGAGCAUCAAAUAUCUGUGCCAUGUGGGAGCACACGAGGGGACAAGUGGGGAAUAGGGUCUCCUCCGUCCUCUGUCCCCAGGCUGGCUUCUCUCAUGGUAGAAGGACCCCCACAGCACCAGGCCUCAUAACUACCCUGCUGGUAAACUGCAGGUGCUGUCAAGGCUUCCUGCCUUCGUAUAUGAAAUGUUCCUUGACAGCUGGACUGCUGUUUACCGCACGCACCGCUCUGCUGCCUCUUGGUUGCACCAGUGAGCUAUUGCUCCAUGACAAACCACACCGAAAUGUAGCAAGUACUUAUUGUUGCCCACAUGUCUCAAGUCAGUUGAGUGUUUCUGCCAAUCGGGGCCUGGCUUGGCCCACCUUGGCUGAGCUUGCUCUGGUGCUAGGGUCAGCUAGACAGGUUGGCAGGAGACCAGCUGCUCUAGAAGAGCCUGGACAGGAUGAAUUGGUUCUCCUUCCACGUGCAUCUUGCAUCCCUCCAGCUAAGUAUUUGAACCCAGGUCUCAUCUGACUCCAAACGCACCAAGAAGAUGGAGCCUAGAGUGACACAGAGGAAGAGGCCCCUGGAUGGAUGCAUGGGGAAGGUUAGAAGCAAGGCACAAGUCAUACCUACAUUCAAGGAGAGGAGACCAUGCAAAGGAUAAACUUCAGAGAGACAACAGAUUUACAUCCCAGACACAUUCACACUGGGCAAAGAGCAGCUGCCAUUGCAGAUUUGAGUCACGUCCUUUUUUCCCUCCUUCUCCUUCUUGGAGUUACAGCAGAAGCUGGGGAGGUGAGAGUGCAGAAAGGACAUGGAUGAAGCAGAGAGGCAUGUGCCUGUCUCAUUCGCCUCUGGAUCUGCUGCAUCCAGGACCAUGUCAGCACAAAGUGGGAGCCCGAUAAAUAUUUAUUGAAGAAAUGAAAGGUGACAAAAGGCAGAAGGAGGGAGACCCCCAAAAGAGUUACACUGGAAGAAGAGCCCCUCCUCCCUUCAAGCCAAGUCAUCCCCUUGGGCUCUCACCACUGUGCUUGCCUUCAGUUUAUACCUUGCCUGUAGUCCAGUCCCUCCUGCAUCAAUUCCAUCAGCCCAAAGGCAUACUUUAAUUCCUUCUACUGUUAAAAAAAAAGCUCUCCCUCUCUUAGGGUGAGAUGAAGUGGUUUGCAACAGGCCAGUGCUACUUUCAGAGGCGUUUGAAUCAGAGUGACUCCAUUUUGAAUAGGGGCUGAGUAAAAUAAGGCUGAGACCUACUGGGCUGCAUUCCCAUAAGCUUAGGCAUUCUAAGUCAUAGGAUGAGAUAGGAGGUCAGCACAAGACACAGGUCACAAAGACCUUGCUGAUAAAACAGGUUGUGAUUGAAAAAAAGCCAGUCAAAACCCACCAAAACCAAGAUGGCGACAAAAGUGAUCUCCGGUUGUCCUCACUGCUGAUUAUUCACUAAUUAUAAUAUAUUAGCAUGAUAAAAGACACUCCCACCAGCACCAUGACAGUUUACAAAUGACAUGAACACAUCAGGAAGUUACCCUGGGGGAGGAGCCCUCCGUUCCAAUUGUCCACCCCUUUCCUGGAAAACUCGUGAAUAAUCUACCCCUUGUUUAGCAUAUAAUCAAGAAAUAACCAUGAAAAUAGCCAACCAGCAGCCCUCAGGGCUGCUUUGCCUAUGGAGUAGCCAUUCUGUAUUCCUUUACUUUCUUAAUAAACUUGAUUUCACUUUA
RNAcentral lists this long non-coding RNA (2929 nucleotides) under Pongo abelii (Sumatran orangutan). Its description in RNAcentral is "lincRNA". The stretch from base 1885 to 2021 matches the Rfam family "T-cell leukemia/lymphoma 6 conserved region 3". Lineage: Eukaryota; Metazoa; Chordata; Mammalia; Primates; Hominidae. The record is from RNAcentral.